Molecule: long non-coding RNA, 1019 nt
Filed under: Homo sapiens (human)
Lineage: Eukaryota; Metazoa; Chordata; Mammalia; Primates; Hominidae
Description: small nucleolar RNA host gene 17, transcript variant 19 (SNHG17)
Source: RNAcentral
AGUCCUUCGCCGUCCCUCGCCGUCCUUCGCCAUCGCACGCCACCGCACCCCAUCUCUCGAAAUCUGCAGACAUCUUGAUUUUUCCCACGCUGUCUGUCAGGUCUCCGCCGCCACUCGACGCCAGGGCGCCGGGCCUUGUGGGCUGUGCUGCACCUCGGACGGCUUCGCACCAGCCAGCGCCCUCUCUCUCCUGCAGCACUCUGAUCUGCACCCCCUGAGGGGCUUCCACUGUCCGCGGGGUGAGAAUGCCCCUGGGAGUGUCACAUGACUGCCGCCCCAUGUGUGUGAGAGGCGUCCUCUGGGAGAGCAUGGAUCCUGAGGUCCCAGGAACAUCCCGAGAGCCAAGUUCCCAGAUGCCAGCCAAGGGCCAUCUGACCUGUUUUGAAUCUCAAUUUCCUGAUACAGAAAACAAAGGAUUGUCAGCUGACCUCUGUCCUGUGUGCCCAGUGGCCCCAGGUGACGUGUCUUCAAGAAGAGGCUGAGCUGCGGUGCUUGUAAGGGUCUCAUUCUGUCACCCAGGCUGGAGUGCAGUGGUGCAAUGAUGGCUCACUGCAGCCUCGACCUGGGCUCAAGUGAUCCUCCACCUCAGCUUCCUGAGUAGCUGGGACCACAGGUCUCAGCCUUAGAUCCAAGGACAGUCCAAGGAAGUCCUAAGACCAUGGAGUUGGUGAUCUGGGAUCUGGGUUUGCUGAUAUUUCUCACCGUGAAUCUCUUGGUGGUGUUUGUGGGCACGAGAGGGGCAGAGAAUGGAGAGUGAGGCUACCACAUGAAGCGUCACCAGAGCUGCUCCCUGCUGCCUGCUCAGAGCACCCCGGAUCCACUGUUCAAUCUGCACAAGAUUCGGGGUCCAGACAUGGGAGACUUCAGCUGCCUCAGAGGACCGUGGACAGGGAAGGCCAGCCUCGCAUCCCUCUGUCCAUGCCUGGAAUGACUUUAAUAACCAAGAGUUUUAUUUUUGAAUUUGUAGCUGUCGUUCACUUUUUACCCACCCAUUCAAUAAACCUUACAGAAUUGCUCCA